GCCGCUACAGUGAAACUGCGAAUGGCUCAUUAAAUCAGUUAUGGUUCCUUUGAUCGCUCCAUCUGUUACUUGGAUAACUGUGGUAAUUCUAGAGCUAAUACAUGCCGACGAGAGCUAGGGGACGGCCACUCCGCUUUUGCACCUUGCUCCCUCUUAUGCUGUGCUGGUGCCUCUGUGCUACCACCGCCUCUUCCUCCAAACUGCACAUGUCACUCGCAUGACCUUCAUUCCAUGUGGGGUAUAGGACCUCAU
Non-coding RNA from Pelobates cultripes (western spadefoot toad), 252 nucleotides. Lineage: Eukaryota; Metazoa; Chordata; Amphibia; Anura; Pelobatidae. The record is from the annotation of a GenBank genome assembly.